AUUUAAUUCAACAUCGAGGUCAUAAACUUAACUAUUAAUAAGAACUUGUUAGUUAAAUAAUGCUGUUAUCCCUAGAGUAACUUUACUUAAUUUACUUUCAUUUUUUAAAAAUCUUCAUCUUCAAAUAUUACCCCAAUUAAAAAUUAUUUAAAAUUCAUAAGCUUCUAGGGUCUUCUCGUCCCAAAAUUUUAUAAAAGCAUUUUUACCUUUAAUUUAAAUUCAAUUUUUAACUAAAUAAAACUUUCUCUUUAAGUUUUAACCCUUCAUUCCAGUUUUCAAUUAAAAAA
Molecule: ribosomal RNA, 287 nt
Filed under: Ampheres luteus
Lineage: Eukaryota; Metazoa; Arthropoda; Arachnida; Opiliones; Gonyleptidae
Description: partial large subunit ribosomal RNA
Source: RNAcentral